CGCGUAGGCGGUGAGAUGUGUGUGAUGUGAAAGCCCCGGGCUUAACCUGGGAAGUGCAUCGCAAACUAUCUGACUGGAGUAUAUGAGAGGGUGGCGGAAUUUCCGGUGUAGCGGUGAAAUGCGUAGAGAUCGGAAGGAACGUCGAUGGCGAAGGCAGCCACCUGGCAUAAUACUGACGCUGAGGCGCGAAGGCGUGGGAGCGAACA
Molecule: ribosomal RNA, 206 nt
Filed under: uncultured bacterium
Lineage: Bacteria
Description: partial 16S ribosomal RNA
Rfam family: Bacterial small subunit ribosomal RNA
Source: RNAcentral